UAAACAAUUACCAAUAGUAUAUAAAAUUAUUCUUGUCUGCUAUUAUUAAGAGUAUCACUUUUCGUUCGCUAUGCAUUUCUCUCAUUCUGCGUCGAACUACCACCACCCAUGGCACCUCUUCUUCGUCGCUUCACCCAAUCUCCUUGAGUAGAAGUGCCGGCUCUUCAAUUUUCCACCACUGCCACCUUCUCCUCCUCUUCACACCACGUGCUACACUGACCUACUCAAUUGAUGUUCUUCGCUGUCGCCUCCUCCUCACUCUGCAUUCUCUGGCGCUGGUUCUUGCCACAAUCUCUGUCUUCGUUGCUGCCUCUACCACAUACUUUGAUCUCUGAUUUUAGUUUGCAUCUCAUAACCUUUUGCUCCUUUUCUCAUUUAAUUUCAAUCGCUUAACUGAAAAAUUCUCAUUUCCAGGGUUUGUGUGAUUUAAUUGAUAUUCUGAUCUGAUUGGGAAUUUUUUGAAAAUUUCAUGUUAAUUUUGUGAUUUUAUUAUGUGAAAUCUGGUUUGAUUCUCUUGUAAUGAUCAUGUAUUGCUAUGAAUCGAAAUGCAUGUUGAUGUGCUUCAAUAUUUGCUGCUUAACUUGAUAUCUGGCAGAAUCCAUUGCAAUUAGUAUGAUUCUCUGGUCUGUUAGCGCAUUAUUCUCUUGAUUAAUAGGUUUGAUAGAAGUAACCUGAUUCAUGGUGAUUCUUCAACGGUUGAACUCAAUAAUUCCAAUAUGGUAAAAUUCUAGUUUUCGUCUAGUUUUUGUCUUUUAUUAUUUCUCUCAAGAGGAUGAAAAGCUUCUCAGGCAUAUCAUUAAGUACGGUCAUGGAUGUUGGAGCUCUGUUCCUAAGCAAGCAGGUUAGUAUUCAUAAUAUGAUACAUGUUAAGGUUUGUUCUGUGUUGUUGUUAAUGUGGUUGUUGGUGAUAGGUUUGCAGAGGUGUGGUAAGAGUUGCAGACUUAGGUGGAUCUAUUACUUAAGGCCUGAUUUAAAGUUUGGAAUAUUUUUAAUUUUACUAUUUCCACUACAACCACAGUUUAGGUACCUAUUGCUUUGAUCAGAGAAGGAACUAACACAAUCUCCACUACUACUAUUCACAACAGGUUGGGGUGGGGGCUAGCUGGCUUAUCAGAAUCUAUUGACAACAAGGCUUCAUUUCAAGGACCUCAGCCUUAGUCAAAAGGUAUUCCCUGGGGUAUAUCAGGUUGACAUUUUUCUAUUCAGAUUAAGAGUAUCUUGUCUCAAAUUAAACUACCGCUUCAGGAAAAAUUAGAAAAAAACUAACAACUCCUUGCGAGAUCUCCAAGAGAACUACAGGCUGGUAGUUUCAAUAAUGAAUUUGUAGAGAAACAAGAUAUUUUGAAUUUACAUGCUUUUAAUUUAAUCAACAUGAUAUUGUAAAUCGUUCAACUCUUCUAUGCUUGUGAAACAGGCCUAUAAAAAAGAAUGGAAGUUGGGGUACAUUUUUGGCAUGAGCUAUGCAAACUAAAGUGCAUACUUUUAAUUAUUUAGUUGGCAUUAUGGCAACUUGGGAUUUUGCUGUAGCUACAUAAUUUUAUUGAAGGGCUCUUUACUUUCCUCAUAAAGAGUAGUGGUUGUGUUUGGUUUCUUCUUAAGGGCAAAGCCCUAAUACAGAGGGUGGUAGGACAAACCUAUUGAAAACUGACUUCAGACUCUAUUCCCUUUAUUUUUUUUUUUUGAAAACUGUUUUAAAUUUCUGAAAAUGUUUACUUUACUGAAACUUGUGACUAAUCUAGUGGAGUUAAAGAGUGUUAACUGCUUGUUGCUACACUUAGUCAAAAUCACAACUUCCUUUGUUGAAAUCCAGCAGAAGGAUCCUUGCUUUAGGUAAAUCCUCAGCACCUUUCCAAUUUUUAAUGCAUUUGUUUUAUUGAAAUAUUUUAUUUAUUUUAUUUUAUUUUUGAAAAAAUUGUUAUAAGUGUUGUUUAUUUGAAGAUUGUGAUUUUUUCUUUCAUGUAGAGUGGAAUCUGGUGAAUCUUCUCUCUUGGAGGAUAUUCUUUCUAUGUUUUAUUGCAUGGCAAUCAUGAGGUCAGCUUCUAUUUUUAUUAAUUCUGGAGUAGACAGUUACACACUAUAAUUAGGGUUCAAUUUAGUAUGUUUCUUAUUUUUAUUUUUAGAUAUCAGUUUAUCUCAUAAAUGUUUUAUACUGUGAUGGAUAAAAUUAAUUCGUAGAAUCCUUGUAGGUAAUUUCUCACCCUGUUUUUCUUCAAUUCAAUUAACACUGAUUUGAUUUCCUCUAUCAAUGCAGUUUAUAAUUUCUUUGGAAAAUUUUCAUUUGCUGAAGGAUGUUUUGCUGCCUAACUUGAUGGAGCUUUGUAGAAUGUGAAAAGCUAGUUAGCUUUCUAGCUGCAAAUAACUUGAAUCCGCUAUCUUAUCUAUCAUGAGUGUAUGAGGAGUUUUUAAUAGAGACUCAAACAUUAGAAUGAUUAACAGCAAAUGGUUAACAUGCAUAUAAACAAGAUCUAACAAAUUUAACUGUAUGGCAUGUGAUGGCAGGUGAGAUACAAGGGGCCUAUCAAAUAAAAAUUACUACAAUUGCUCUGGCUUUGUUGCUAGCCAGUAGGCACAAUAAAUUGGCAAGAGUAAACAUACUAGGCCAUCUAAUUAAGUCUAAUGUGGGAAUAACGACAAGAUCAAAAGCUAAAUCAGCUUCAAAUCAAUGGGUAAUGUUGCCACUUCCUACAAAGGGGGAAUUUAAGGUCCUAAUUAUUGUUGUUACAAAUGAUGAAUUUUUUCCCAGAGGAAGAAGCACUUUGGUGAAUGUUGAUGAUGUGAUUAUUGAAACAAGUCUUGGCAGAUCCAUCUAGACUAUGAUGACAGAGGAAAGAGAGAAAAGAGGGAUUGAUUUAUAGCCUAACUUGAUGUAAUAUAGUUAUAGACUUAUAGCAUUUUUGUUGUUUAGAUUUGUAACAUGAUUUAUUAUUUUUCAAGAGAAUUUUAUAUAUCAAUAUUUUGAGUUUAAUGAAAUAUCUCAUUUUGUAGUAA
This is a non-coding RNA of Arachis ipaensis, 2988 nucleotides long. The record is from RefSeq and is a predicted model, not a curated record. Lineage: Eukaryota; Viridiplantae; Streptophyta; Magnoliopsida; Fabales; Fabaceae.